Molecule: ribosomal RNA, 495 nt
Filed under: uncultured bacterium
Lineage: Bacteria
Description: partial 16S ribosomal RNA
Rfam family: Bacterial small subunit ribosomal RNA
Source: RNAcentral
GACGAACGCUGGCGGCGUGCCUAAUACAUGCAAGUAGAACGCUGAAGGAGGAGCUUGCUUCUCCGGAUGAGUUGCGAACGGGUGAGUAACGCGUAGGUAACCUGCCUGGUAGCGGGGGAUAACUAUUGGAAACGAUAGCUAAUACCGCAUAACAGUAGAUAUUGCAUGAUAUCUGCUUGAAAGUUGCAAUUGCAUCACUACCAGAUGGACCUGCGUUGUAUUAGCUAGUUGGUGAGGUAACGGCUCACCAAGGCGACGAUACAUAGCCGACCUGAGAGGGGGAUCGGCCACACUGGGACUGAGGCACGGCCCAGACUCCUACGGGAGGCAGCAGUAGGGAAUCUUCGGCAAGGGACGGAAGUCUGACCGAGCAACGCCGCGGGAGUGAAGAAGGUUUUCGGAUCGUAAAGCUCUGUUGUAAGAGAAGAACGAGUGUGAGAGUGGAAAGUUCACACUGUGACGGUAACUUACCAGAAAGGGACGGCUAACUACGUG